RNAcentral lists this ribosomal RNA (476 nucleotides) under uncultured bacterium. RNAcentral's name for it is "partial 16S ribosomal RNA". It matches the Rfam family "Bacterial small subunit ribosomal RNA", at positions 28 to 523 of the family's 1533-position model. The record is from RNAcentral.
GACGAACGCUGGCGGCGUGCUUAACACAUGCAAGUUGAACGGGCGAUAUUGGAAGCUUGCUGAAGAUAUCGUUAGUAGCGGACGGGUGAGUAAUGCAUGAGGACCUGCCUGCCGGCGGGGGACAACAGUUGGAAACGGCUGCUAAUACCCCGUAUGCCGAGAGGUGAAAGGAAUGGAGACAUUCCGCCGGGAGAGGGAAUCAUGUCCUAUCAGCUGGUUGGUGAGGUAACGGCUCACCAAGGCGACGACGGGUAGCCGGCCUGGGAGGGCGACCGGCCACACGGGAACGGAGAUACGUGCCAGACUCCUACGGGGGGAAGCAGUGGGGAAUAUUGGGCAAUGGGGGCAACCCUGACCCAGCGACGCCGCGUGGGUGAAGAAAUCCUUCGGGAUGUAAAGCCCUGUUGUAUGGGAAGAGCAGAAGACGGUACCAUACGAGGAAGCCCCGGCAAACUACGUGUCAGCCGCCGCCGUAA